Molecule: ribosomal RNA, 476 nt
Filed under: uncultured organism
Description: partial 16S ribosomal RNA
Rfam family: Bacterial small subunit ribosomal RNA
Source: RNAcentral
CACUCCUGCGGGAGGCAGCAGUGGGGAAUAUUGCACAAUGGGCGCAAGCCUGAUGCAGCCAUGCCGCGUGUAUGAAGAAGGCCUUCGGGUUGUAAAGUACUUUCAGCGGGGAGGAAGGCGAUAAGGUUAAUAACCUUGUCGAUUGACGUUACCCGCAGAAGAAGCACCGGCUAACUCCGUGCCAGCAGCCGCGGUAAUACGGAGGGUGCAAGCGUUAAUCGGAAUUACUUGGCGUAAAGCGCACGCAGGCGGUCUGUCAAGUCGGAUGUGAAAUCCCCGGGCUCAACCUGGGAACUGCAUUCGAAACUGGCAGGCUAGAGUCUUGUAGAGGGGGGUAGAAUUCCAGGUGUAGCGGUGAAAUGCGUAGAGAUCUGGAGGAAUACCGGUGGCGAAGGCGGCCCCCUGGACAAAGACUGACGCUCAGGUGCGAAAGCGUGGGGAGCAAACAGGAUUAGAAACCCUUGUAGUCCCAUGAU